UACGUAGGGUGCGAGCGUUAAUCGGAAUUACUGGGCGUAAAGCGCACGUAGGCGGUUUUUUAAGUCAGAUGUGAAAGCCCCGGGCUCAACCUGGGAAUUGCAUUUGAAACUGGGAAACUAGAGUGUGUGAGAGGAUGGUAGAAUUCCAAGUGUAGCGGUGAAAUGCGUAGAGAUUUGGAGGAAUACCAGUGGCGAAGGCGGCCCCCUGGCCCGAUAUUGACGCUGAGGUGCGAAAGCGUGGGGAGCGAACCGG
Molecule: ribosomal RNA, 253 nt
Filed under: uncultured bacterium
Lineage: Bacteria
Description: partial 16S ribosomal RNA
Rfam family: Bacterial small subunit ribosomal RNA
Source: RNAcentral